GAAGGGGGCUAGCGUUGCUCGGAAUCACUGGGCGUAAAGGGCGCGUAGGCGGCGUUUUAAGUCGGGGGUGAAAGCCUGUGGCUCAACCACAGAAUGGCCUUCGAUACUGGGACGCUUGAGUCUGGUAGAGGUUGGUGGAACUGCGAGUGUAGAGGUGAAAUUCGUAGAUAUUCGCAAGAACACCGGUGGCGAAGGCGGCCAACUGGACCGGCACUGACGCUGAGGCGCGAAAGCGUGGGGAGCAAACAGGAUUAGAUACCCUGGUAGUCCACGCUGUAAACGAUGAAUGCUAGCUGUUGGGAUGCAUGCAUCUCAGUAGCGCAGCUAACGCAUUAAGCAUUCCGCCUGGGGAGUACGGUCGCAAGAUUA
RNAcentral lists this ribosomal RNA (369 nucleotides) under uncultured bacterium. RNAcentral describes it as "bacterial SSU rRNA". It matches the Rfam family "Bacterial small subunit ribosomal RNA", at positions 527 to 896 of the family's 1533-position model. The record is from RNAcentral.